GACGAACGCUGGCGGCGUGCCUAAUACAUGCAAGUGGAACGCUGAAGGAGGAGCUUGCUUCGCUGGAUGAGUUGCGCACGGGUGAGUAACGUGUAGGUAACCUUGCUGGUAGGGGGGGAUAACUGUUGGAAACGAUAGCUAAUACCGCAGAAGAGUAGAUGAUGCAUGAGAUUUUCUUGAAAGGUGGAAUUGCAACACUACCAGAUGGAACUGCGUUGUAUUAGCUGGAUGGGGGGGUAACGGCGCACCAAGGCAACGAUCCGUAGCUGACCUGAGAGGAGGAUGAGGCACACUGGAAAUGAGACACGGUCCAGACUCCUACGGGAGGCAGCAGUGGGGAAUAUUUGAAAAUGGGCGAAAGCCUGAUCCAGCCAUGCCGCGUGUGUGAAGAAGGUCUUCGGAUUGUAAAGCACUUUAAGUUGGGAGGAAGGGCAGUAAGUUAAUACCUUGCUGUUUUGACGUUACCAACAGAAUAAGCACCGGCUAACUUCGUG
RNAcentral lists this ribosomal RNA (494 nucleotides) under uncultured bacterium. Its description in RNAcentral is "partial 16S ribosomal RNA". It matches the Rfam family "Bacterial small subunit ribosomal RNA", at positions 28 to 507 of the family's 1533-position model. The record is from RNAcentral.